UCUCCCUGCCCAGGCUCCUAGAGCCUCUGGGACUCAAGGCUUGGGGGUGCUGAGAGGAGGGUGGUCUUUCUGGACUAGGAAUUCGUGGAGUCUGUUUCCUCAGCUACAAGGCCCUGAGCUCCAGGCCCUCAGUGUCUGGCACGGUGCCCCUGCAUACUAAAGAACCUCCAUCAGCACUUCCAGAAUGAAGACAUGCGUGAAUUGUGCUUGCCAUCCUGUGCAUAGCUAGCACAGACCUGGGACCAGCCCUGAGAACGAGAUGGCUGCAAGUUGGGAUUCUCACUGAGGAGAAAGAGGGAAGGGGCUGCAGGGGAGGAAAGACCCUCCGAACCACACGUGGAGCCACCGCAACCCUGGGAUCACAGCCCUGGCAGAGGCUCCACCCACGAGGGCCGCACAUCUCAGACCUCAUUCUGUUUCCGGAAUGCUGCCCCUGAAGCUGGAUCAAUGAAACAUAAGCAAGCCGGCCCCUGCCCUUCCCCUCGGCUUUGUCAGAAGAUGGGAUGGGGGGUGGGUGGAUUCCAAAUGAACUUCACCCCUUACUGGCUGUGUCCCUUCUCUCUCUGGCCCUCAUCUAUAAAAUGAGGUGUACCUGCUUCACAGAAUCAUCUGGAGAGGAAAUAAAAUAACAUGG
This 634-nucleotide long non-coding RNA is filed under the name Homo sapiens (human). RNAcentral's name for it is "HSALNT0218992". The record is from RNAcentral. Lineage: Eukaryota; Metazoa; Chordata; Mammalia; Primates; Hominidae.